Molecule: microRNA precursor, 98 nt
Filed under: Chlorocebus sabaeus (green monkey)
Lineage: Eukaryota; Metazoa; Chordata; Mammalia; Primates; Cercopithecidae
Description: miRNA (ENSCSAG00000026490.1)
Rfam family: mir-639 microRNA precursor family
Source: Rfam by way of RNAcentral
UGGCCGACGGGGCGCGCGCGGCCGGGAGGGGCGGGGCGGACGCAGAGUCGCGUUUAGUCUAGCGCAGCGGUCGCGAGCGCUCUGGGUAUCCUGUGCUG